UCGGGAAUAUUGGGCAAUGGAGGGAACUCUGACCCAGCCAUGCCGCGUGCAGGAUGAAGGCGUUAUGCGUUGUAAACUGCUUUUAUAUAGGAAGAAAUAGUCCUUGCGAGGAAAGUUGACGGUACUAUAUGAAUAAGCACCGGCUAACUCCGUGCCAGCAGCCGCGGUAAUACGGAGGGUGCAAGCGUUGUCCGGAUUUAUUGGGUUUAAAGGGUGCGUAGGCGGUUUAUUAAGUCAGUGGUGAAAGACGGUCGCUCAACGAUUGCAGUGCCAUUGAUACUGGUAGACUUGAGUAUGAUUGAGGUAGCUGGAAUGGAUAGUGUAGCGGUGAAAUGCAUAGAUAUUAUCCAGAACACCAAUUGCGUAGGCAAGUUACUAAGUCAUAACUGACGCUGAGGCACGAAAGUGUGGGUAUCAAACAGGAUUAGAUACCCCGGUAGUCCCUGAGCGGGC
RNAcentral lists this ribosomal RNA (453 nucleotides) under uncultured bacterium. Its description in RNAcentral is "bacterial SSU rRNA". It matches the Rfam family "Bacterial small subunit ribosomal RNA", at positions 355 to 816 of the family's 1533-position model. The record is from RNAcentral.